UGAGGAAUUUUCCGCAAUGGGCGAAAGCCUGACGGAGCGACGCCGCGUGAGGGAUGACAGCCUUCGGGUUGUAAACCUCUUUUGUUGGGGAAAAAGGUGUUUAUGCUCAUACCAUAGACAUUUGAUGGUACUCAGCGAAUAAGCCCCGGCUAACUACGUGCCAGCAGCCGCGGUAAUACGUAGGGGGCGAGCGUUGUCCGGAUUUACUGGGCGUAAAGCGUGCGCAGGCGGCUGUGUAAGUCAGAUGUGAAAGCCCCGGGCUCAACCUGGGAACGGCAUUUGAGACUGCACGGCUAGAGUGUGGCAGAGGGGGGUGGAAUUCCACGUGUAGCAGUGAAAUGCGUAGAGAUGUGGAGGAACACCGAUGGCGAAGGCAGCCCCCUGGGAUAACACUGACGCUCAUGCACGAAAGCGUGGGGAGCAAACAGG
This 429-nucleotide ribosomal RNA is filed under the name uncultured bacterium. RNAcentral describes it as "bacterial SSU rRNA". It matches the Rfam family "Bacterial small subunit ribosomal RNA", at positions 355 to 776 of the family's 1533-position model. The record is from RNAcentral.